RNAcentral lists this transfer RNA (83 nucleotides) under Planctomycetota bacterium. RNAcentral's name for it is "Planctomycetes bacterium (anaerobic digester metagenome) tRNA-Tyr". It matches the Rfam family "tRNA". Rfam says of the family: Transfer RNA (tRNA) molecules are approximately 80 nucleotides in length. Their secondary structure includes four short double-helical elements and three loops (D, anti-codon, and T loops). Lineage: Bacteria; Pseudomonadati; Planctomycetota. The record is from RNAcentral. RNAcentral also lists the same sequence under 4 other names.
GGGUCGGUGCCCGAGUGGCUAAAGGGAACGGGCUGUAAACCCGUUGGCGUGAGCCUACGCUGGUUCGAAUCCAGCCCGGCCCA